AUUGAACGCUGGCGGCAGGCCUAACACAUGCAAGUCGAACGGCAGCACAGAAGAGCUUGCUCUUUGGGUGGCGAGUGGCGGACGGGUGAGUAAUGUCUGGGAAACUGCCCGAUGGAGGGGGAUAACUACUGGAAACGGUAGCUAAUACCGCAUAACGUCGCAAGACCAAAGUGGGGGACCUUCGGGCCUCACACCAUCGGAUGUGCCCAGAUGGGAUUAGCUAGUAGGUGGGGUAAUGGCUCACCUAGGCGACGAUCCCUAGCUGGUCUGAGAGGAUGACCAGCCACACUGGAGCUGAGACACGGUCCAGAAUCCUACGGGAGGCAGCAGUGGGGAAUAUUGCACAAUGGGCGCAAGCCUGAUGCAGCCAUGCCGCGUGUAUGAAGAAGGCCUUCGGGUUGUAAAGUACUUUCAGCGGGGAGGAAGGCGGUGAGGUUAAUAACCUCGCCGAUUGACGUUACCCGCAGAAGAAGCACCGGCUAACUCCGUGCCAGCAGCCGCGGUAA
Molecule: ribosomal RNA, 506 nt
Filed under: uncultured bacterium
Lineage: Bacteria
Description: partial 16S ribosomal RNA
Rfam family: Bacterial small subunit ribosomal RNA
Source: RNAcentral